Molecule: ribosomal RNA, 189 nt
Filed under: Triticum aestivum (bread wheat)
Lineage: Eukaryota; Viridiplantae; Streptophyta; Magnoliopsida; Poales; Poaceae
Description: partial small subunit ribosomal RNA
Source: RNAcentral
GGGAGCAAGUGCCUUGUCAACUGGGCAAAAGUCUGCUCCCCUAAUGCUUACGGUGGUUUGGGGAUCAAAGAUCUGGAUAAGCACAGCAGAGCCAUGCGGUUGCGAUGGUUGUGGCACGAAUGGGAUGUGGAUCCUCGUCCCUAGAAGGGGCUGCAAGUACCAUGUGAUGCGACCGAUCGAAGCCUUUUU